GAAAUAACGGCUGGAGGGUCGGCGGUCAAGGUGACCGGCCAACUCAAUUUUAGCUCGGACAUGCCGAAUUUCUGGCCGGUCAAAUUAUUCAGCUUAAAGCAAAGCCUAGUAAAGUAUACCCCUAAAAAUGUGACCAUUUUCCCAGUAUAGCAGUACAAAAGCCUUACUGUAAUCAGUAAUUAAAAACUCCUUCACAUAAAACAGCUUGUACUGGGCUAAAAGCAUGGUCUUAGGGCUUAAGCCAAAGCCCAUGGGCUUUGUGACGUACUGCGUGCGAAAACUGGUGUACAUUGAAGUUGUUUUCC
This is a non-coding RNA of Paramuricea clavata, 305 nucleotides long. The record is from the annotation of a GenBank genome assembly. Lineage: Eukaryota; Metazoa; Cnidaria; Anthozoa; Malacalcyonacea; Plexauridae.